AAAUGAAUAGACGGGGGCCCGCACAAGCAGCGGAGCAUGUGGUUUAAUUCGAAGCAACGCGAAGAACCUUACCUGGACUUGACAUCCCCUGAAUAACCUAGAGAUAGGCGAAGCCCUUCGGGGCAGGGAGACAGGUGGUGCAUGGUUGUCGUCAGCUCGUGUCGUGAGAUGUUAGGUUAAGUCCUGCAACGAGCGCAACCCUUAUUGUUAGUUGCUAACAUUCAGUUGAGCACUCUAACGAGACUGCCGCGGUUAACGCGGAGGAAGGUGGGGAUGACGUCAAAUCAUCAUGCCCCUUAUGUCCAGGGCAACACACGUGCUACAAUGGGCAGAACAAAGAGAAGCAAUACCGCGAGGUGGAGCCAAACUCAAAAACUGCUCUCAGUUCGGAUUGCAGGCUGAAACUCGCCUGCAUGAAGCUGGAGUUGCUAGUAAUCGCGAAUCAGCAUGUCGCGGUGAAUACGUUCCCGGGCCUUGUACACACCGCCCGU
Molecule: ribosomal RNA, 491 nt
Filed under: uncultured bacterium
Lineage: Bacteria
Description: bacterial SSU rRNA
Rfam family: Bacterial small subunit ribosomal RNA
Source: RNAcentral